CCCCAGAUGUUGCUGAACUACAACUCCCAUGAUUCUUUGAAUUACAUAUAUAGCCAGAUAAUCAUGGGAGUUGUAGUUCAGCAACAUCUGGGG
RNAcentral lists this microRNA precursor (93 nucleotides) under Pelobates cultripes (western spadefoot toad). The record is from RNAcentral. Lineage: Eukaryota; Metazoa; Chordata; Amphibia; Anura; Pelobatidae.